Molecule: unclassified non-coding RNA, 155 nt
Filed under: soil metagenome
Description: partial internal transcribed spacer 1
Source: RNAcentral
CCGAGUUUACAACUCCCAAACCCCUGUGAACAUACCUAUCGUUGCUUCGGCGGGAUGCCCCUAGUUUGACGCAAGCUGGACCCAGGCGCCCGCCGGUAGGACCCAAACUCUUGUUUUAUUUAUGUAUCCUUCUGAGUAACAAAAGCAAAUAAAUA